Long non-coding RNA from Corticium candelabrum, 277 nucleotides. RefSeq lists it as uncharacterized. The transcript is spliced from 4 exons. The record is from RefSeq and is a predicted model, not a curated record. NCBI's taxonomy places the organism in Eukaryota, Metazoa, Porifera, Homoscleromorpha, Homosclerophorida, Plakinidae.
CCUUUCGAUAUACGUUAGCUAUUUCACGAACAAACCGAUCCAUUUAAUUGUGGAAUAUGGACUUGUGUGAACAUCCUUUCAGCAGCUGUGGACAAUCCUCGUGUAGCCAACAACAUCAAUCCCAAUGACAUGAGGACGUGGAUAUUGCAUCGAAUUGUUCUUAUAGGGGCCGUUGAAAGAGAGAACAGAAAGAUGAACUAUUUGAAAACGAUCAUGAUGAGGAUCCCCAUUCUAGUGACUGCAUUACAGGGACAGAAACAACAAUUCAUCAAGUAGU